CAGAGACCAACACCUCAGAACACUUUGUGCCUCUUCAAUGAGUCCCUGACAUUGAACAUGUCUGCCUUCUGAAGUGUCCUUUCGUUUGUUUCUAUUUAUCGAGGAUAUGUCUCAGGACACCCCCAGGCUUCAUUUUUUGCCUUAAUCCUGUAUCACACCAUUUAAGUGGCCCUCUGAUCAGGCCAGGUGUAUGGGAAAAAUGAACCGUGUCCCUGAUCUGACAGAACACACCACUGAAGGUCUUCAAAAGGAUCAAGAAUGUUUAUGUAGAUACCUGAGAAGAGAGCAGGGUCUACACUGACACUGAAGGCACAGAUGAAGAUCUUUCCAUCCAGCAAAGUCACCAGGAUCCACACCAUCGGUGCCAGCAGAGCCCUCUGGAUCAUGGCCGAGAAAAGGUCUCAUCCACUCCUCCAUCAUGACGCCUGUAUGCCGGUUGACCAGGACCCCCAAGAAGAACAGUAUGAUGGGCGGGACGAUCAUCACUCCCAGGGAGUACAGUUUGUUGUACUGAGGAAGGCACGGGCAGUUAAAGUCAAAGCUUGUGUAGAGCUUGACACUGACCAAGGCCAGGAUGAUACAGAUCCCAUUGGAUAUAGACUCAGAGUUGGACUGGAAGUACUGCAGGACUAACUUCAGACGCUCCAUAGCUGAAGGAAAUGUUCAGGGUGGUAGAAGUAGAAGCAGACACAAGUAGAAAUAGCUGAUCCAACUGCUGCUGGGGUUUUUAAUUCAACCAGUGAAUACAGAGAAAGUUCCAGUAGUGAGAUAUAGUGUUACAUAAUGUUUUACCUCACAAAUCCUUUGAAGUAAACUCCACAAUGUAGCAGCCUCAGUAAACAACCUGAGCUUUUGUGUGCAGAUAGCAGUGACGGAGUGAGUCCUGCAGUGAUCCAGGGAGAGUCUGAGAAUGUAUGAAUACACCUGACCAGGUGACAGAGCUGUGCGGCCACACCCUGCCUCACUGGCAAAGCAGCACUCACAUCAAAGGCUUACUGAGAAAAGGAGCAACAGCAGUAGUUCCUGUUACGGCUGUAUGGGGCCUGAAACUCUAAGCAUUUGGGACUGUACAGUAGAUGAGCCAUCACUGUUGGUUUGAAUUUAAUAUUAAUGUUUAAUCCCUUGUGUUCAUAGUUUAGGGCUCAUUUCUUCUGGUUCAAACAGUCAAUCCAGGAAGCACCGUUUAGAAAGUUGACAUUGUAAUUCUGAGGGUGCAAUGGCAUGUAUCCUCUGAGGACCAUGUGUACACUAUAAAUGAUCAAAUCAGCCCACUCUGAAGAACCGUUUCCAGCUAUAAAGCUCGGUGUUGAAAAGUAUUUUAUCUGCAUCAUGAGAUAAGGAACGAAUGCUACUCAAAGGCCUAUAAGAAACAUGUUUUGGAGCUUAGGCUCACAAGGAAAGCAUUUCGACUCCAUUCAAGAAAUCAGAACCUAACAGGCCAAUAUGUUUAUGCAAAUGCUGGGGAAAAAAACACCACAUAGAUAUCAAGUUUACUUUAUUUAUAUAAAAGACAUGAAAAAAAACAUGCUUCACCUGCAUGAAAGUGCUUUGAUUACAACAUUGUUAUAGAUAAUCUGUUCUGAAUGGCCAAAUAAAUCAAGAGGA
Long non-coding RNA from Micropterus dolomieu (smallmouth bass), 1605 nucleotides. RefSeq lists it as uncharacterized. The transcript is spliced from 3 exons. The record is from RefSeq and is a predicted model, not a curated record. Lineage: Eukaryota; Metazoa; Chordata; Actinopteri; Centrarchiformes; Centrarchidae.